GGCUCAGGAUGAACGCUGGCGGCGUGCUUAACACAUGCAAGUCGAACGAAGAUGCCGGAGUGCUUGCACUUUGGCAGACUGAGUGGCGGACGGGUGAGUAACACGUAUGCAACCUGCCCUUGUCAGGGGGAUAAGCGAGGGAAACCUCGUCUAAUACCGCAUAUAUGGUUUUGAGGCAUCUCUUAAUCAGGAAAGAAUUAUCGGACAAGGAUGGGCAUGCGGGACAUUAGGUAGUUGGGGGUGUAACGGACCACCAAGCCGACGAUGUCUAGGGGUUCUGAGAGGAAGGUCCCCCAUACUGGUACUGAGACACGGACCAGACUCCUACGGGAGGCAGCAGUGAGGAAUAUUGGUCAAUGGGCGAGAGCCUGAACCAGCCAAGUCGCGUGAGGGAAGACGGUACUAAGUAUUGUAAACCUCUUUUGUCAGGGAACAAAGAGACCACGUGUGGUAAGAUGAGUGUACCUGAAGAAAAAGCAUCGGCUAACUCCGUG
Molecule: ribosomal RNA, 494 nt
Filed under: uncultured bacterium
Lineage: Bacteria
Description: bacterial SSU rRNA
Rfam family: Bacterial small subunit ribosomal RNA
Source: RNAcentral